This 790-nucleotide ribosomal RNA is filed under the name Mycobacterium intracellulare subsp. chimaera. Its description in RNAcentral is "bacterial SSU rRNA". It matches the Rfam family "Bacterial small subunit ribosomal RNA", at positions 56 to 848 of the family's 1533-position model. Lineage: Bacteria; Bacillati; Actinomycetota; Actinomycetes; Mycobacteriales; Mycobacteriaceae. The record is from RNAcentral.
UGCAAGUCGAACGGAAAGGCCCCUUCGGGGGUACUCGAGUGGCGAACGGGUGAGUAACACGUGGGCAAUCUGCCCUGCACUUCGGGAUAAGCCUGGGAAACUGGGUCUAAUACCGGAUAGGACCUUUAGGCGCAUGUCUUUAGGUGGAAAGCUUUUGCGGUGUGGGAUGGGCCCGCGGCCUAUCAGCUUGUUGGUGGGGUGAUGGCCUACCAAGGCGACGACGGGUAGCCGGCCUGAGAGGGUGUCCGGCCACACUGGGACUGAGAUACGGCCCAGACUCCUACGGGAGGCAGCAGUGGGGAAUAUUGCACAAUGGGCGCAAGCCUGAUGCAGCGACGCCGCGUGGGGGAUGACGGCCUUCGGGUUGUAAACCUCUUUCACCAUCGACGAAGGUUCGGGUUUUCUCGGAUUGACGGUAGGUGGAGAAGAAGCACCGGCCAACUACGUGCCAGCAGCCGCGGUAAUACGUAGGGUGCGAGCGUUGUCCGGAAUUACUGGGCGUAAAGAGCUCGUAGGUGGUUUGUCGCGUUGUUCGUGAAAUCUCACGGCUUAACUGUGAGCGUGCGGGCGAUACGGGCAGACUAGAGUACUGCAGGGGAGACUGGAAUUCCUGGUGUAGCGGUGGAAUGCGCAGAUAUCAGGAGGAACACCGGUGGCGAAGGCGGGUCUCUGGGCAGUAACUGACGCUGAGGAGCGAAAGCGUGGGAGCGAACAGGAUUAGAUACCCUGGUAGUCCACGCCGUAAACGGUGGGUACUAGGUGUGGGUUUCCUUCCUUGGGAUCCGUGCCG